This 237-nucleotide long non-coding RNA is filed under the name Elaeis guineensis (African oil palm). Its description in RNAcentral is "long non-coding RNA (EGUI_LNC017321)". The record is from RNAcentral. Lineage: Eukaryota; Viridiplantae; Streptophyta; Magnoliopsida; Arecales; Arecaceae.
CUGACACAUUGAGAUAUAGCUAGGACAUAAUUUUAUACUUAAUAUAUUGAUUUGAUCAAUAAAAGGAUAAGCUUAUUUUUUAUUCAAGUGUGAUGUAUCCUUAAAUCAUCCAUAAAAUUAAUAUUUCGAUACAUAUUCUUAAAGUAUUGAAAAUUAAAGAUAUGUAUUUAAUUCCUAAAUGCUCCUGGACAUAGUAUCAUCAUGAGAAUGGUGAAUGAUCCAGAUAGACUGGCACAU